CUUAUCCAGAGUGGUUGAGGGACGGGCCCGAUGAAACCCGGCAACCGGCGCUUGCGACCGGUGCCAAUUCCCGCGGCGGGGCGUUCUGUCGCUUUGCCGGAAGAUGAG
Molecule: non-coding RNA, 108 nt
Filed under: Candidatus Excrementavichristensenella intestinipullorum
Lineage: Bacteria; Bacillati; Bacillota; Clostridia
Description: SAM riboswitch (S box leader)
Rfam family: SAM riboswitch aptamer (S box leader)
About the family: The SAM riboswitch is found upstream of a number of genes which code for proteins involved in methionine or cysteine biosynthesis in Gram-positive bacteria. The SAM riboswitch acts at the level of transcription termination control.
Source: RNAcentral